This is a non-coding RNA of Misgurnus anguillicaudatus (oriental weatherfish), 718 nucleotides long. The record is from RefSeq and is a predicted model, not a curated record. Lineage: Eukaryota; Metazoa; Chordata; Actinopteri; Cypriniformes; Cobitidae.
UAUGCACACAGCUGUCAUGAUGGUUAUUUGCUGAGUAGCGCUGUGAUAACGGCUGCAGUGAGACUGAAAUCUGAGAAUCACAGAAAAGUCAAAUUCUGAAUGUUCUGCCUUUUCUGAAUAUAACUGAUUUUGUGUCUUUUUUUAGAUACAAUAGACAAAACAAAUGAAGCAGUGGACAGCUCAGUGUUUCUCUCUCUGUUGGUGUUUCUGCCUCAGUUUCUCAUCAUUGAAGCUCUGUGGAUGUGAUGUUGCAGGUCUGUGAGUAGAUCAGCUGUCUGUCCAUAGCUGUGUCUGAAACCGCUCCCUAUCCACUAUAUAGUGCACUAUAUCGGGUGUCGGCCAUUUUGUAGAGGUGUCCGAAACUUGAGUGAACAACUUCAUUCCCUACAUUCAUUCACUACUUUUUACCCACAAUGCACUCUGAUUUUGAGGGUGCAUUCGAUGUACACUCAUUCACUCAUAUUUCCCAUGAUGCAACGGGAGACGAAUGCGUAACUUGUAUCAGCUGAAGGAUACUGACAGUAAACACCAAACAUUUAGGUUUAUAAUUUGUCAGUUAUUUUCUGCUUCUUUAAAAAUAAACAAAUGAAAAAUAAUUUUUGGUUAAAUAAAGAUAAAAACAUAAAAAAUACAUAUAAACCGUUUAUUCUGAUUGGUCAGUAACUGUUUUAAAAACUGGUUUAAAUGUUAAAAUCAAUAAAAAAAGUUUUUGUGACAC